Non-coding RNA from Thunnus maccoyii (southern bluefin tuna), 378 nucleotides. Lineage: Eukaryota; Metazoa; Chordata; Actinopteri; Scombriformes; Scombridae. The record is from the annotation of a RefSeq genome assembly.
AUGCUGGGGACCCUCUGCACUCUCAUCACUGCUCUUACAUGUGUGAUUGGUGUGACGGUGGUGACACAGAAGCCUCCUGUUGUGACGCUGAGGAAAGGAGAGACAGUCACCAUGGACUGUAACCUGGGAGCUGUUACUGACAGUGGUGCUCGCUGGUAUAAACAGAUUCCAGGAGGAGUUCCUCAGUAUGUUCUGAGAUUUUAUCACAGCUCGAGCUCUCCAAGCUAUGGUUCUGGUUUCUCUUCUCCUAAAUUCACAUCUAAUCAUCAGUCAACAUCAGAUUAUCGACUGAUCAUCAACAACGUGGAGGAGGGAGACGCAGCAGUCUAUUUUUGUGCUACAUGGGACGACUCUGCUAAGGAGGUUGUAUCACAGUGA